CGGAAAAUUCGGAACCGGUUUAGCUAACUCAAAGGACACAACGUAUGGAUGUAUUACUUUAAAACUGCGCGUUGCUUGCAACAAAAGGAACACAGUAGGGAGAGGCCCACCCCGUGCCCCACUUGGAGUUUCCGCCCAAGCACAGAGCCCAACGAACGGCACACGUCGACAGAGCCAGGUGUUUGAUGACGAACCCGAGGAUCUACGCCUUAUGAACCUCCCGUCCUCUAGUCGCCAGAGGUAAUCGGGUUUUAACCGUAAUUAGCGAGCGUAGCUAUCUGACGGUGGCAACGGAGCUCUGAAACACUGGAAGCCCGCGUUACGAGAGUACGCUGCAGCUGCAGACACUCCUUACGAG
This 358-nucleotide unclassified non-coding RNA is filed under the name Cyclophyllum barbatum. Its description in RNAcentral is "partial miscellaneous RNA". The record is from RNAcentral. Lineage: Eukaryota; Viridiplantae; Streptophyta; Magnoliopsida; Gentianales; Rubiaceae.